RNAcentral lists this ribosomal RNA (492 nucleotides) under uncultured bacterium. Its description in RNAcentral is "partial 16S ribosomal RNA". It matches the Rfam family "Bacterial small subunit ribosomal RNA", at positions 29 to 507 of the family's 1533-position model. The record is from RNAcentral.
AGUGAACGCUGGCGGUAGGCCUAACACAUGCAAGUCGAACGGCAGCACAGUAAGAGCUUGCUCUUACGGGUGGCGAGUGGCGGACGGGUGAGGAAUACAUCUGAAUCUACUUUUUCGUGGGGGAUAACGUAGGGAAACUUACGCUAAUACCGCAUACGACCUACGGGUGAAAGCAGGGGAUCUUCGGACCUUGCGCGAUUGAAUGAGCCGAUGUCGGAUUAGCUAGUUGGCGGGGUAAAGGCCCACCAGGGCGACGAUCCGUAGCUGGUCUGAGAGGAUGAUCAGCCACACUGGAACUGAGACACGGUCCAGACUCCUACGGGAGGCAGCAGUGGGGAAUAUUGGACAAUGGGCGCAAGCCUGAUCCAGCCAUACCGCGUGGGUGAAGAAGGCCUUCGGGUUGUAAAGCCCUUUUGUUGGGAAAGAAAAGCAGCAGGUUAAUACCCCGCUGUUCUGACGGUACCCAAAGAAUAAGCACCGGCUAACUUCGUG